RNAcentral lists this ribosomal RNA (464 nucleotides) under uncultured Myxococcales bacterium. RNAcentral describes it as "bacterial SSU rRNA". It matches the Rfam family "Bacterial small subunit ribosomal RNA", at positions 338 to 795 of the family's 1533-position model. The record is from RNAcentral. Lineage: Bacteria; Pseudomonadati; Myxococcota; Myxococcia; Myxococcales.
CCUACGGGGGGCAGCAGUGGGGAAUCUUGCGCAAUGGGCGAAAGCCUGACGCAGCGACGCCGCGUGAGUGAUGAAGGCCUUCGGGUUGUAAAGCUCUGUGGGGAGAGAAGAAUAAGUCGUAGUGAAUAUCUACGAUGAUGACGGUAUCUCCUUAGCAAGCACCGGCUAACUCUGUGCCAGCAGCCGCGGUAAGACAGAGGGUGCAAACGUUGUUCGGAAUUACUGGGCGUAAAGCGUGUGUAGGCGGUGAGGUAAGUCAGGUGUGAAAUCCCACGGCUCAACCAUGGAAGUGCACUUGAUACUGCUUCGCUUGAGUACUGGAGAGGUUGGUGGAAUUCCUGGUGUAGAGGUGAAAUUCGUAGAUAUCAAGAGGAACACCGGUGGCGAAGGCGGCCAACUGGACAGAUACUGACGCUGAGACACGAAAGCGCGGGGAGCAAACAGGAUUAGAUACCCCAGUAGUC